GCUACCACACCUGGAUCCCAAGUUUCUCUUUAAGUGGUCUUGAUGGACGUGGGUCGGACAUCUUAGAACCUGUGAAUUCUUCUGUGGAGGCUGAGUCUCACGAAGCUGAGUUUAAUAUCUGUGCUCCUUACUAAAGUACCGACCACCAAAUUGUACAAACUCAUAGUUUUAUAUGAAUGUUGAUGAGUUUGUAUCAAAAUGGAAUUGUUGAUACGUCCUUAAUUUGUGCAAAAUUGUAUGAAGAGAUUGAGUUAUCAAUUAAAACCACGCCUCUUUAUGAUCCUAAAAAUGAAUAAAUAACUAUGUAAAUAAAUAACAAAACAGGCUUUUAAAAAAGAGGUUACUCAUACUUCCAACCAGGGCUGAAACCCUUCCUUUGGUAACGAUGUGGGCACAGUUGUAAAACAGCUGCCACUGACUGUGAAGAUUACACGGAGGCUCUGGACAUCCUUAUAUUCAUGUGUCUGUGACUUCCUGUGACAGGCACUGUGCCAGGGCUUAGCUUCCUACAAAUUCCUACUGUGAGUACACAGUGACCUUCUGUGAAGACCAGGUGUGUCAGCCUUUGUCAGCUCCUAGGAGACACAGGAUCUCUGAGUUUAAGGCCAGGAGGUCAGUCCUGUAUUUCCACCAUGUCCAUCAAGGGGUAGGACUUGGAGGGCUGUGUACACACUGAGCCAUCUUUCCAGCCCAUCUCCUGAUCUUUUUCUUUUCUUUGUGCUCUCUCUCUCUCUCUCUCUCUCUCUCUCUCUCUCUCUCUCUCUCUCUCUCUUUCUCUCUGUGGGGCAUGGGGGUGGGGUUGCAGGCUGUCUUUGUUUACCCAGGACAGUCAUGAAUCAUAUUCUGUAGAGCAGGCUGACCUUGAACUCAUAGAGAUCCACCUGCAUCUGCUUUCCUAAUGCUGGAGAUUGAAACCCUGUGCCCACACCACCCAGACUCAUGACCAUUCUUCUAAGACAGCUUGUAUGAAUUACUUUUUGCAUUCAAAAGAAUGACCUUCCAUGCUGGGAAAUGAUAAGCGAUGGCUCAGUGGUUAAAACUGAUUGCCCUGCAAGCAGAACAUGAGUUCAGAACCUAGCAACCAUGGAAAGAGGUGGCCAUGGUCUUCUCACUUCUCAUUACCCCAGCCCUGUUAGGGUACCUCAUAAACUAGAGGCCUGCUGGCUGACAGCCUGGCUAGAGACAAAGAGUUAGGGUCAGGUAAGAUGCUCUAUACCUUAGAAGUAUGGUUAGCUAUUCAUUGAGCAUUAUUAGGUUUACUAUUUAUUUAUGCUUCAACUAAGUGUCUGGGAAUGGACACUGCUAUUUUGGGCCUUUCUUAAUUAUCAUUAGCAUGUCUCCAUGUCUGCAGGUACAAGUGUGGUUAUCGGAGAGCAACUCUUGGUAUUGUUUCUUUCGCCAACUGCAUUUACUGACUAAUGUCUACCCAUAAUGACAUCUUUCUCACGGCUUUGACGCUCAUCUGUCCUUGGAUGGGCCUGGCUUGCUUAUUAUACCCCAGGGAGAACAUCUCCAUCUACAUGGAUUUCUUAAAAAAAUUGGGCAUGUGGGGCUGUUCUUUUUUUAAGGUCCUAUUCCCCAUUUGAUUCUUGAUCUGUAAAUAAAAAAAGCCAUGGGCCAAUUGCUGGUCUGAAGAUACUCAUGGAACUUCUGGUUCCUGGGAGGAAAAGGGGACACCAGGAAGCAAAGAUGGAGUUCCCCAUGCUCUACAGCGUGUACCCAGUAGUUCCUAAAGAAAACGUCUGGGCCAUGCUGAGGUCUGUGGUCCCCGCUGAUGCUGAAGGCCAUGUGGAUGUCCGGGAUCCAUGUUGCAACUGACUGUAAAAGAAGCCAAAUGAAGCAGCAAGGAGGACUUCUCUCAGUACUCCUGAAAAGAACGAGAUACAGAGCCACAAACCGGAAUGGAGACAGUCUGAGGCAGACAGGCAAUGGGGGGAAGAGAUCUUGAGCAUGCAUGGUGAGAAGACAGUCAACCUGGGAACACCAUCUAUGAAAGGAGGGGGAACUCGGAAAUCCCAGCAAAUGGGAGGCAGAGGCAACAGGGUUCACAAGUUUAAAGUCAGUCUGCAGACAGAGCUUCAGGUCAAGACACCAACACAAUGACAGCUUGUCUCCAAAAAGCAAAACAAACAAACAACCGAAAAAUGAAAAAAUAAAAAUAAAAAAACCAC
This is a long non-coding RNA of Rattus norvegicus (Norway rat), 2171 nucleotides long. RefSeq lists it as uncharacterized. Lineage: Eukaryota; Metazoa; Chordata; Mammalia; Rodentia; Muridae. The record is from RefSeq and is a predicted model, not a curated record.